Molecule: ribosomal RNA, 443 nt
Filed under: Etisus frontalis
Lineage: Eukaryota; Metazoa; Arthropoda; Malacostraca; Decapoda; Xanthidae
Description: partial 16S ribosomal RNA
Rfam family: Bacterial large subunit ribosomal RNA (bases 323-443)
Source: RNAcentral
AAAGGUAGCAUAAUCAUUAGGGAUUUAAUUGGGACCUAGAAUGAAGGGUUGGACAAAAGAAAAACUGUCUUUGUUGAUAAAAAUUAAAGUUUACUUUUAAGUGAAAAGGCUUAAAUGAAUCAAGGGGACGAUAAGACCCUAUAAAGCUUUAUAGAUAACUUAAAUUUAGUUGAUUUAUUAAGAUAAAAUUUAAAUUUAAUUAUUCUAUUUUAUUGGGGUGAUAUGAGUAUAAUUACUAUUAACUGCUUAAUAUAAAUACUAAUAUGAAAGAAUUUUAAGUGAAUGAUCCUUUGUAAAGAUUAAAAGACCAAGUUACUUUAGGGAUAACAGCGUUAUUUUUUUUGAGAGUUCAUAUCGAAAAAAAAGAUUGCGACCUCGAUGUUGAAUUAAAAAAUCUAUAUAAUGCAGCAGUUAUAUAAGAAGGUCUGUUCGACCUUUAAAUU